GCAGCUAACGCAUUAAAUGAUCCGCCUGAGUAGUAUGCUCGCAAGAGUGAAACUUAAAGGAAUUGACGGGGACCCGCACAAGCGGUGGAGCAUGUGGUUUAAUUUGAAGAUACGCGGAGAACCUUACCCACUCUUGACAUCCUUCGCAAUGCUAUAGAGAUAUAGCGGAGGUUAACGGAGUGACAGAUGGUGCAUGGUUGUCGUCAGCUCGUGUCGUGAGAUGUUUGGUCAAGUCCUGCAACGAGCGCAACCCCUAUCUUUAGUUACUAACGAGUCAUGUCGAGGAUUCUAGAGAUAC
RNAcentral lists this ribosomal RNA (298 nucleotides) under Mycoplasmopsis arginini. Its description in RNAcentral is "Mycoplasma arginini partial 16S ribosomal RNA". It matches the Rfam family "Bacterial small subunit ribosomal RNA", at positions 848 to 1149 of the family's 1533-position model. The record is from RNAcentral. Lineage: Bacteria; Bacillati; Mycoplasmatota; Mycoplasmoidales; Metamycoplasmataceae.